Long non-coding RNA from Haliotis rubra (blacklip abalone), 546 nucleotides. RefSeq lists it as uncharacterized. The transcript has 3 exons. Lineage: Eukaryota; Metazoa; Mollusca; Gastropoda; Lepetellida; Haliotidae. The record is from RefSeq and is a predicted model, not a curated record.
AAUUGAGACAUAUCAGAUUUUAUUGUUCAGGUGAAGGUGUUUUAUGUAAUUAUAAAAUUAUGCAAAUAAAAAGUAUAAACUGCUAAACUCCAAAAAUAUGUUUAAAGCUUUCAUUGGUGAAGGGUUAUUUAAUAAACAUUGUGGUUGUUUAAAAAUCAGAUUUACAAAACUGAUAAAAGGUUUUGUUGAGGGUUUGUUAAUAAAAUUCUAUGUGGUUGAGGUGCAUCUGAAUUAUGCCCCUUUGUGGAAUAUUUACAUCACUAAGGAAGUGAGGUGGUUCAUUCUGGCCUCAAUUUCAUAUUGUGUGUAAUGUGACCAGAGAUUAAGUCUCUGAUUGGGUACAAGUUUUUUUAGGCAUAUUAAAUACACUGAGUGUCCAAGCACAUGGCACUUAGUAUCCAGCAUUGCACAGCACAGCAGCAGCACUGUUACUUGCCACAGAAGGUGCCAAAAAGGGGUAGAAUAGUAAACUCCAUUCCAUUCCAUAGAUGGGGUGAUGUUUUUGUGGACUUAACUACCCAACGGAGAAUAAAAUGUCCUCCCCUA